UAGAAAUGAAUAAUUACCGCCAUGAAUUGAUGAAUGAUUUCCCUCCAAAAUAUUGGAGGAUGUUGGCUUUCCCUCUCCCGUUGUUGGUCGAAUCGAAACUCCAAAAAUCAAUAAGUUGAAAAGCAAAGCCCUAAUCUUCACUUCUCUUUUGUUGGAAGAUUAUGAUGUCAAGCCACGAAGACGAUCUUGAUCUCCUUCUUUCUCUUCAGGACAGAGUUCUUGAAACCCCUCCCGCUUCUCCCUCUCCACUUGAUUUUGAUGACGACGAUGAUAAUGUGUCCCCCAAGCACAAGCAGAGAGAGAAGCCCGACAUGUCCGUUUUCAAAGACGCCGUUCAGGAUUGCCUUCACUACCAACCCUCUAACCCUAACCCUAAACCUAAACCUAAUUCCAAACCCCUCACCGACGAUGCCCAACUUGACAAAUUCUCUGGUCUUCGGAUAAGGAACCAAUGUUUAACCCCUGCUGAGCUUAAAGAAUGUGUUCAAGACAUUCGUUUUGUUCGCCUACCGGUCAUCAAGAAUUUGGUGGGUGGAGAUACUUUUCCUGGAAGUUGGGUGACUGUUGGAGUGUUGACUGAGAAGGGGAUUCAGAAAACAAGUUCAACGGGGAAGAGCUAUUCUAUAUGGAAAAUUGGGUGUUUGGAUGAAGAUACGGUUUCUCUUUUCUUGUUCGGUGAUGCUUAUCAGAGGAACUCUCAAGAGCAGGCAGGAACAGUCUUUGCACUCUUCAAUAGUGCUGUCCGCAAGGAUGCCAAGGGUAAUGGUUUUUCUUUGAGUAUAUUCUCCUCUAACCAAAUUUUGAAGAUGGGCACCUCUGUUGAUUAUGGAGUUUGUAAAGGGAAAAGAGCGGAUGGGAUGGCUUGUACACUGGCCAUAAAUAAGCGUCAGGGGACUUACUGUAAAUAUCAUAAAUCAAAAGCAUCUGACAAAUAUUCCACAGUACGAACUGAACUCAAGGGAGGAAAUUUAAGAACAGCAUUUAGGCCAAGAAAUCAUCUCAAGUCAGAAGGGAUAUACUUAGUUGACCCCCUUUCCGACAAAACAAACUUGAAAAAGUCUCGGUCAGUGAAAUUGUUAUCCGUGGAUGGUCUCAAAAAGGCAUUGAGGAAAAGUAACAACAACUCCACACUCGCAAGGGAUUCGGUUUCUUACCGAGGUUGCAGGCAAAUUUGAUCCAAAAAUGAUGAUGAAAAAGGGACCAAAGACUCCAACUGAACAACACAAAUGCACGGAGAAGAGGAAAUCAUCUUCUGUGAAUACGGGAUACUCUACUGUCAUAAGAAACCAACCGUCAGAUGUAAAAAGAAUAAAAACAGAGAGGCGAGAUUUGGUGGAUAAAACAACAAAGAGUACAGGAAAGAUGAUUGAAUUAGAUUUUGUUAGUUCCGACGAUGAAGACUUCUGAAAUUAAUGUGCUCUGCUUGAUUUUAUUGUUUAGUGUGCAAAAACGUGUUGUGAAAAGCAAAUGAGUGCUACUGCAGGGUGGUAAUACAAAUCAAAAUAGUGCACAUUAGUGCCCCAGAAAGUGUUGAAGGUCUCCUUGAAAGAUUAUUUUCUAGUGCAAAUAUGCCAAAGUCCUGCACACUGAAGAAUUUAUUUUACUCAGUGAUAUCAGUGGUAGGAAUACGGGAUUAUGUUACAUUGUCUGAAUCUUUGUUAUCAAUUUGGGGUGAACUAUACCAGCUUACUCAAAUAUAGUAACUCUCUUCAAAAUAUAAUUUGGGGUGGAGGGUUUGAUAUAAUUUUUUCCUUCAAAUUGUCAUAAGAGAUUUGCUAAAUUGCAAUUUUGUCCUUGUUGUCCAUCAACUGUCUUUCUCGUUAUGUUUUAUUUUCUUCAUGGACAGAAGCCACGAGAAAUAAGACUGGGCUGUGGUAGUCUUUCGUAAUAUUCACUAACAACCAUAACAGGGUGGAUAAGGUGCAGUAAUAAUUUUGUACAAAAUUGCUAAAUCGGUGAAUUUCUGAUCUUGUAAUCAAAUUGAAUUAGAGUUUCAUUUCAAUAUAUAAUUACCCAU
Cicer arietinum (chickpea) is the source of this 2017-nucleotide RNA transcript. RefSeq lists it as uncharacterized. The record is from RefSeq and is a predicted model, not a curated record. Lineage: Eukaryota; Viridiplantae; Streptophyta; Magnoliopsida; Fabales; Fabaceae.